GUACACGCUGUGACUAGCAUAUCAAUAAGCGGAGGAAAAGAAACUAACAAGGAUUCCCCUAGUAACGGCGAGUGAAGCGGGAAGAGCUCAAAUUUGAAAUCUUAAAGGGUUUCCCUUUACGAAUUGUAGUUUGAAGAAGUGUUUUCUGUUGAGGUUUUGGUAAAAGUUCUUUGGAAUAGGACAUCAUAGAGGGUGAGAAUCCCGUAUUUGACCUUUACUUUCAACUUUGUGAUACACUUUCAAAGAGUCGGAUUGUUCGGGAAUGCAGUCCAAAAUGGGUGGUAAAUUUCAUCUAGAGCUAAAUAUUGGCGAGAGACCGAUAGCGAACAAGUACCGUGAGGGAAAGAUGAAAAGAACUUUGAAAAGAGAGUUAAACAGGUACGUGAAAUUGUCAAAAGGGAAGCGUUUGACACCAGUGUUGUUUUUCUGAAAAUCAAUUAAAGAACUGUUUAUGCUAAGUUGUUUAGACUUUAUCAGCUAACUGUUUAGUUUUGAGCUUUUCUUUAAUGCACUUUUCAGUUAACAAGUCAACAUCAAUUUCUUUUGCUGUAAAAAAGCUUGAGGAAGGUGGCUUGAGAUUCGUCUUAAGUGUUUAUAGCCUCUUGCCUAUGCAGUCGGAGAGAUUGAGGUCUGCAGCGUAGAUCCUUCGGGGCUAAAUGCAUUUGUGCUAAGUUAUAACAUUUUAUAGACAACUUGUUGACUAUGAUUUGUCUUGUAGCUUACUCGCUUAUGUUAUUUUACCUACGCUUAGGAUGUUGACAGCAGUAUAGACUGU
RNAcentral lists this ribosomal RNA (775 nucleotides) under uncultured Neocallimastigales. RNAcentral describes it as "partial large subunit ribosomal RNA". It matches the Rfam family "Eukaryotic large subunit ribosomal RNA", at positions 22 to 637 of the family's 3401-position model. Lineage: Eukaryota; Fungi; Neocallimastigomycota; Neocallimastigomycetes; Neocallimastigales. The record is from RNAcentral.